This 298-nucleotide long non-coding RNA is filed under the name Gallus gallus (chicken). The record is from RNAcentral. Lineage: Eukaryota; Metazoa; Chordata; Aves; Galliformes; Phasianidae.
CUCCAGAAAAAAAUGGCAAACAUCACUGUGGGAGCCACUGGAAAGGCAACAACAGUAACUCAGUUUUUGUAUUGCUUACAAGUUUCCCUUGUAGAAACUGGAUGUGAACAACUUCUUCACUUCUUGCAAGUCCACGCUGUGGAUAUUUUUUUAAUAGUUGAGCACUUCCAGUACUUUGCCCAAGUAUACAAGUUUCUAUGUGUAGAAAUAAAAACAUCUUUUGAAAUAUAUCAGUAGUAAGAGACUGUUCCAGCACUUCUAUCUUGACCCAUGCAUAGUGCAUGCUGUAGGAUUCCCC